Molecule: long non-coding RNA, 1227 nt
Filed under: Capsicum annuum
Lineage: Eukaryota; Viridiplantae; Streptophyta; Magnoliopsida; Solanales; Solanaceae
Description: long non-coding RNA (CANN_LNC016430)
Source: RNAcentral
GUGGCGACGUUUGUAUAAAUAAAGAAAAUUCCGUCCAACACCUCAAAAAUAAAGUUUUCACGAUAAUAAUAUUUGUACAAAUGUAAGAAUAUAAAAUACAACAUAAAAUUUAAAGUCUUCCUUGAAUGUCACUCCCGAUGAGUAUUAUCAAUAACCUGUAUAAACACUUGUAAUAAAAUAUUAGUAACAAAUAGAUAAUUAUUAAAAUAAGUUUAAAAGGUAUGUAAAAAUAUGAUUUUUGUUAAAAUGUGGGCUUAGAUUAAAUUUUAAAUACGCUAUGGCUACAAAGUAGUUGCUCAAUUGAUUGACCGUCCUAAAUCGUCUUGCCAAAAUACGAAUUGUAAAAUUUUUUGUGUUGUUAUAAAAAUUUCGUCAUCGCUCGAAUUUAUUUAUUUUACUACAUAUUUAUAUACGUAAUAUCCGUCUUUAGACGAAAUAUUUCUUCAUCAACCAAAAUAGAGUGCUAUUCAUUUGUUAUCAGUCAAACACAUCCACAAAAGUCUAACAGUCCCAAAUUUUCAAAGACAGUCAUGAGCAGAAUAGUACUAUAAAAAAAUUGAAAAAUUAUCAAAUGUUCAUAAAAAUAAAAAUCAAACCAAAUAUCAAAACAAGUAGUAAAAUAUAGCAACAAUCAACAACAUAACCACAGAUGAAUUCUGAAAUAGUGAUGUUAAUUCAAAUAUUGUCAUGAUUUAAUGAUGAUGUAAUAUCAAAGUAGUGCAUUUUCGACAAAACCAUAGCAAAGGAGAGAGGUGACCGGUGUUGCUUCAAUGGAGUUUCACCGGAGCAACGCCGGAAAAAAUAAAAAUAUGGCCAGAUCUGGCCCAUUUUUCGGCGGCCAGUGGCAAAAGAAAAGAAUGGAGGUGAAGGGGCAGUGUGUGGCGGUGUGGCUAGUGGCUGGAAGCUCGCCGGUGGUCAAAUCCAGUGAAGCGCGGCGGCGGGUGAGAGAGGAAAAGAGGAAGCUGGUGUUUUUUUCGCCGGCGUUGGUGGUUUUGGUUGGUGGUUUGUGCGGCUGCUUGAGAGGAAGGGUGAUGCGGUUGGUGAGGGGGAAAGGAGUGGUGGCGUCAUGGUGGUUCGCCGGAGACCGGCGGUGGAGUAGCCAUGGAUGAUGACUUAGUCUUCAGAGAGAGAUGAGAGAGAGGGAGUAGAGAGAGAGGAACACGCGUGUGUUUGUGUGUUGUGUGAUAUUUAAAAAGGUAAAAAUAAUAAAAAAAUAAUAUUUAUUUC